Long non-coding RNA from Pseudonaja textilis, 370 nucleotides. Lineage: Eukaryota; Metazoa; Chordata; Lepidosauria; Squamata; Elapidae. The record is from Ensembl.
AAUCUGCAAGUUGAUAUAUGAUUUGGUCUGUUCAUUUACUUUAAAAAAAUCUGCUUAUUUCAGGUAAUUAUCCAAGGAUUUAGAAGUUACAGAGAUCAAACUAUAGUAGAUCCCUUCAGUUCAAAACAUAAUGUCAUUGUGGGCAGAAAUGGUUCCGGAAAAAGUAACUUUUUCUAUGCAAUUCAGUUCGUCCUCAGUGAUGAAUUCAGUCAUCUUCGUCCUGAGCAAAGGCUGGCUUUGUUGCAUGAAGGCACAGGACCUCGGGUUAUCUCUGCUUUUGUGGAAAUUAUUUUUGACAACUCAGACAACAGAUUACCUAUUGAUAAGGAAGAGGUAUCUCUUCGCAGAGUCAUUGGAGCUAAAAAAGACC